This 116-nucleotide ribosomal RNA is filed under the name Carlito syrichta (Philippine tarsier). The record is from RNAcentral. Lineage: Eukaryota; Metazoa; Chordata; Mammalia; Primates; Tarsiidae.
GUCUACAGCCACACCGCCCUGAAUGCACCCGAUCUCAUCUGAUCUUGGAAGCUAAGCAGGGUUGGACCUCGUCAGUACUUGGAUGGGAAAUUGAUUGAUAAUGUUGAGCCUAGAAG